UACAGGGGGUGCAAGCGUUGCUCGGAAUUACUGGGCGUAAAGCGAGCGCAGGCGGCCGAUUAAGUCAGAGGUGAAAACUCGGGGCUCAACCCCGAGCCUGCUUCUGAUACGGGCAGACUGGAGGUAUGCAGGGGAGAACGGAAUUCCUGGUGUAGCGGUGAAAUGCGCAGAUAUCAGGAGGAACACCGGUGGCGAAGGCGGUUCUCUGGGCAUUACCUGACGCUGAGGAGCGAAAGUGUGGGGAGCGAACAGG
RNAcentral lists this ribosomal RNA (253 nucleotides) under uncultured bacterium. Its description in RNAcentral is "partial 16S ribosomal RNA". It matches the Rfam family "Bacterial small subunit ribosomal RNA", at positions 524 to 776 of the family's 1533-position model. The record is from RNAcentral.